CCGCGUGAGUGAAGAAGGCCCUCGGGUUGUAAAGCUCUUUUGUCCGGAAAGAAAAGCGCCGGGUUAAUACCCUGGUGUCCUGACGGUACCGGAAGAAUAAGCACCGGCUAACUUCGUGCCAGCAGCCGCGGUAAUACGAAGGGUGCAAGCGUUACUCGGAAUUACUGGGCGUAAAGCGUGCGUAGGUGGUUCGUUAAGUCUGAUGUGAAAGCCCUGGGCUCAACCUGGGAAUUGCAUUGGAUACUGGCGGGCUAGAGUGCGGUAGAGGAUAGUGGAAUUCCCGGUGUAGCAGUGAAAUGCGUAGAGAUCGGGAGGAACAUCUGUGGCGAAGGCGACUAUCUGGACCAGCACUGACACUGAGGCACGAAAGCGUGGGGAGCAAACAGGAUUAGAUACCCUGGUAGUCCACGCCCUAAACGAUGCGAACUGGAUGUUGGGUGCAAUUUGGCACUCAGUAUCGAAGCUAACGCGUUAAGUUCGCCGCCUGGGGAGUACGGUCGCAAGACUGAAACUCA
Molecule: ribosomal RNA, 515 nt
Filed under: uncultured bacterium
Lineage: Bacteria
Description: bacterial SSU rRNA
Rfam family: Bacterial small subunit ribosomal RNA
Source: RNAcentral